AAAACAAAAAAUGAAAAGUAUAUCUUAAAAAAGCAUACAUAUGCAUACUUCUUAAAAUGAAAACGAGUCUCACUCUAGCCUACUUCGUUUAAUAAUCAGUUUUUUAUAGGAAACCAACACAGGAGGCCAGUGUUCAUAUUCAAAAUGGCUAUUUGAGAGGUGGAAAAAAGGCACAGAGACCAGAACUUGGGCCUGAGAGGCCCUCUUGUUGUCAUUGCUGGUGUUCAUUUUGUUUUGGCCAUUUGUUUGUGAUAAGAAAUUGAAAAUGCCCAACCUCCGAAUACCAGCUUCUUCAGACAAGGUACAAUCACGUUCCACUUUCAACAACAAAUAGUGGAGGAGUUAAAAGCCUCAAAGCUACCAGAUCUCAAAGCGAAAUCUGUCAGUCAUGCAUGGCUCAACACAGCCAACUGGUUUACCCCGUAGAACUUAAUACAGAGCGUGCCCUCGGGAACAAUCCUUUUAUGUACAGAGUAGACUUUAACAGCCAAGUAAUUAAACACAGAAAGUAAGGGCUUAUAAUUAAAAUGCUGGCAAACCUGAACCAAGUGGCACAAGCAGGGCUGCUAUAACAUUUUUACAAUUCCUUUUUAUACAUAAUGUAUGAUCCUUCUGCUCAAGUUUCCUCUAUGCUCUUUGCCUGUGAAAUAAUUUACAUUAAUAAAUAAUUUAUUACCAUAACUCCUAAAGUAAUUAUGGGUUUCCAUGCAUUUUUUUUUUAGCAUAUGAAUUGUUUUGUUCUCUGUCCAUUUCUAUUUGUAUUUCUAUGACUUCUAGUGGCCUUUUUGCAAUAAUUGGUAUUGUGUUAGCUUUCUCACACAUGACUCCUAGACCUUCUCUUACCUGAGUGGCGAGGAAAAUGGGAUGUGUAAUGUCCACUGCCCCUGCACUAUGGUAUGCAUUUAAUGGGAGCCAUCAGCCAAGGGUGGUGAAUGGAGCCUGCUCUCACCCCACUCGCCCUGUGUCCCCAAAAAAGACUAAGCUAGCACCAGUGUGACCCUGGGCUGGCAUGAAGAGUGUUUCCCCCAGCAAAUGAUGGAGGACCUGGAGGGAGCCCACAUACCAAGGAUUCACAUGCAGCCCCGCCUGUCCAUCACAGAAUGACUCUCUCAGGCGCAGCCAAGCCCCCUGCAGCACCCGCUAGAAAUCAUGGCCACAACAGGGCUGGCUAGCCUAGCAGACCAGCUGACCGGUGGGUGGGCCACACCCAUGAAGCGGCCAGCUCACCAAGGUUUCCUGUGUCAAGAACACAAUAACCAGUCAUGUGCGGAGCUCUUUCCCAGAGAAGCUGCUUGCCGAGGAAGUUCUGGAUCAGCACAGAAGGACAGGCCACCUUCCUGGAUUCCACACUGACUUAACCAUCCAAUCUGCAGCCAACCAUGGAAGUGUCUGCAAAGAGUUCAAGAUGGCUGUCAGCCUCCCUCCCAGAUGACGAAGUCAGUGCAGCGGGAUUCGCACUGAAAGCCCACAAAGUCACUGAAUGGCAAACACUCAAGAGGCCCCCACAGCUAAGCAUGCAGCCGUGAAAGCCAGGCAGGACCCGCUUCCAGCAGGGAGAAUCCAGAGAAGGAAGUCGGCUUGGCCAAUGCCCAGGGCCUCACCUGCUGAGGAUGACCGCUCCAACGCCACAGGAGUGCCCGGCAUACAGCACACACCCACUGGGGGACCACAGCCCCAUACCACCCUCGCGCUUGGGUAGGGAUGCAAAGCUACCCAGGCUGGGAGCCCAGAAAACCCAAAUCAGGACGGGGCUGGGGAAAGCAGAAGAGGUGGAGAAUCCAGAGCGGCCUGUUAGCUGCGCCAGCAUGUGGGUGCCACUGAGCAGGGCUUGGGGUUCAGGCAUUAGCCAGAAGCAAACCAGGGAACCAACCCCUGGCUCUCGGUGCAGCUCUGCUCACAGCCUCUUUCCCCUAAGCUGGCACGUUCCACACAGAGGAGCCCCAGCCCGCCCAGGGAAUGUGGAUAUGCCACACCCCCAGAGGGCAGCCCUGGGCAGCACACAGGGGCCUCCGGCCCUCACUCACUCACUCACUCUCUCAGCAAGGAUUUAUCUGCAUUUGCCGCAGACCCAUUUCCCAGGCUGAAGCCAUCCACGUACUUGCGAUGUGAGCGCUCCGCACUCCCACACUGCCCCUCUCCAAGCCACCGGCGCCCUACCUGAAAGACCAGGCCAAGCUGACUGGUCCCCACCCAAGCCCUGAGCCCGCUCCCCAUUCUCCUCCCAGGACCCCCAGAGCUCUGCUUACAGCGCCCUCUGGCAACUUCCCACAGCAACCAGAGUAAAGCUUUGCAGAGCGGCCUUUGCA
Molecule: long non-coding RNA, 2306 nt
Organism: Manis pentadactyla (Chinese pangolin)
Lineage: Eukaryota; Metazoa; Chordata; Mammalia; Pholidota; Manidae
Exons: 2
Source: RefSeq, a predicted model, not a curated record